RNAcentral lists this ribosomal RNA (253 nucleotides) under uncultured bacterium. RNAcentral's name for it is "partial 16S ribosomal RNA". It matches the Rfam family "Bacterial small subunit ribosomal RNA", at positions 524 to 776 of the family's 1533-position model. The record is from RNAcentral.
UACGAAGGGGGCUAGCGUUGCUCGGAAUCACUGGGCGUAAAGCGCACGUAGGCGGCUUGUUAAGUCAGGGGUGAAAUCCUGGAGCUCAACUCCAGAACUGCCUUUGAUACUGGCGAUCUCGAGUCCGGGAGAGGUGAGUGGAACUGCGAGUGUAGAGGUGAAAUUCGUAGAUAUUCGCAAGAACACCAGUGGCGAAGGCGGCUCACUGGCCCGGUACUGACGCUGAGGUGCGAAGGCGUGGGGAGCAAACAGG